Molecule: ribosomal RNA, 480 nt
Filed under: uncultured bacterium
Lineage: Bacteria
Description: partial 16S ribosomal RNA
Rfam family: Bacterial small subunit ribosomal RNA
Source: RNAcentral
AUGAACGCUGGCGGCGUGCCUAACACAUGCCAGUCGAGCGAAGCACUUACUUUAGAUUUCUUCGGAAUGACGAAGUUUGUGACUGAGCGGCGGACGGGUGAGUAACGCGUGGGCAACCUGCCCUGUACAGGGGGAUAACAGUUAGAAAUGACUGCUAAUACCGCAUAAGCCCACAGCUUCGCAUGAAGCAGUGGGAAAAACUCCGGUGGUACAGGAUGGGCCCGCGUCUGAUUAGCUAGUUGGUAAGGUAACGGCUUACCAAGGCGACGAUCAGUAGCCGACCUGAGAGGGUGACCGGCCACAUUGGGACUGAGACACGGCCCAAACUCCUACGGGAGGCAGCAGUGGGGAAUAUUGCACAAUGGGGGAAACCCUGAUGCAGCGACGCCGCGUGAGCGAUGAAGUAUUUCGGUAUGUAAAGCUCUAUCAGCAGGGAAGAAAGUGACGGUACCUGACUAAGAAGCCCCGGCUAACUACGUG